AAAACAUCGCCUCCUGCAACACAUUAAAUAUAGGAGGUCCAACCUGCCCAGUGACUACAAGUUUAACGGCCGCGGUAUUUUGACCGUGCAAAGGUAGCGCAAUCACUUGUCUUUUAAAUAGAGACCUGUAUGAAUGGCCAAACGAAGGCUUAACUGUCUCCCCUUUCAAGUCAGUGAAAUUGAUUUACCCGUGCAGAAGCGGGUAUAAUAAUACAAGACGAGAAGACCCUUUGGAGCUUAAGGUACAAAAUUUAACCACGUUAAGCAACUUAAUAAUUAAAGCAAUAAACCUUGUGGAAUAUAAAACAUUACCUUCGGUUGGGGCGACCACGGAGUAAAACAAAACCUCCAUAGUGGACUGGGAUAAUUUCCUAAAACCAAGAGAGACAUCUCUAAGCCACAGAACAUCUGACCAAAAAUGAUCCGGACACCAAGACCGAUCAACGAACCAAGUUACCCUAGGGAUAACAGCGCAAUCCUCUCCCAGAGUCCAUAUCGACGAGGGGGUUUACGACCUCGAUGUUGGAUCAGGACACCCUAAUGGUGCAGCCGCUAUUAAGGGUUCGUUUGUUCAACGAUUAAAGUCCUACGUGA
Molecule: ribosomal RNA, 594 nt
Filed under: Garra congoensis
Lineage: Eukaryota; Metazoa; Chordata; Actinopteri; Cypriniformes; Cyprinidae
Description: partial 16S ribosomal RNA
Rfam family: Bacterial large subunit ribosomal RNA
Source: RNAcentral